This 98-nucleotide ribosomal RNA is filed under the name Rhodococcus (subgen. Prescottella) equi. RNAcentral describes it as "Rhodococcus hoagii partial 23S ribosomal RNA". It matches the Rfam family "Bacterial large subunit ribosomal RNA", at positions 801 to 899 of the family's 2925-position model. The record is from RNAcentral. Lineage: Bacteria; Bacillati; Actinomycetota; Actinomycetes; Mycobacteriales; Nocardiaceae.
GGGAUGAGCUGUGGGUAGGGGUGAAAGGCCAUCAAACUCCGUGAUAGCUGGUUCUCCCCGAAAGCAUUUAGGUGGCAGCGUCGCGUGUUCACUCUGGG